GGGCGCAAGCCUGAUGCAGCCAUGCCGCGUGUGUGAAGAAGGCCUUCGGGUUGUAAAGCACUUUCAGCGGGGAGGAAGGCGGUGAGGUUAAUAACCUCACCGAUUGACGUUACCCGCAGAAGAAGCACCGGCUAACUCCGUGCCAGCAGCCGCGGUAAUACGGAGGGUGCAAGCGUUUAAUCGGAAUUACUGGGCGUAAAGCGCACGCAGGCGGUCUGUCAAGUCGGAUGUGAAAUCCCCGGGCUCAACCUGGGAACUGCAUUCGAAACUGGCAGGCUAGAGUCUUGUAGAGGGGGGUAGAAUUCCAGGUGUAGCGGUGAAAUGCGUAGAGAUCUGGAGGAAUACCGGUGGCGAAGGCGGCCCCCUGGACAAAGACUGACGCUCAGGUGCGAAAGCGUGGGGAGCAAACAGGAUUAGAUACCCUGGUAGUCCACGCCGUAAACGAUGUCGAUUUGGAGGUUGUGCCCUUGAGGCGUGGCUUCCGGAGCUAACGCGUUAAAUCGAC
RNAcentral lists this ribosomal RNA (505 nucleotides) under Klebsiella pneumoniae. RNAcentral describes it as "bacterial SSU rRNA". It matches the Rfam family "Bacterial small subunit ribosomal RNA", at positions 373 to 869 of the family's 1533-position model. The record is from RNAcentral. Lineage: Bacteria; Pseudomonadati; Pseudomonadota; Gammaproteobacteria; Enterobacterales; Enterobacteriaceae.